Perognathus longimembris pacificus (Pacific pocket mouse) is the source of this 1344-nucleotide long non-coding RNA. RefSeq lists it as uncharacterized. The transcript has 3 exons. Lineage: Eukaryota; Metazoa; Chordata; Mammalia; Rodentia; Heteromyidae. The record is from RefSeq and is a predicted model, not a curated record.
UUUUCCCAUCUAAAGGAGACUAUCUGUACUCAAAGCCACCACCUUAUACUGAACAUAGCCUAGUUGUCAAAACAGGAGCAUAGCCUAGUUAAGAUCAUUCAUAUUUCAAGAAAAAAAAUUAAAAGCUACACUUUACAUGAAAUUUUCCAAUUUUUAAACACUACCCCAUUCUAGAUUUUUUUAAAUCACAUUCUGGAUCAAGCAAAUUAUCAGCAGGUAAAUAGUACUUAAAAGAUGCUUUUGGCCUGGAACCAUUUACCCCUAACAAGGAUUCAAAACUGAUGGGGAGUAGAAUAAAAGUCAGGCAUCCUAGACCUCUCCAUUUUGUCUCUAGUCCUUUGUCUUCAGCCAUUCUCUUCUGAACUACCUGUGAACACAUCUAUGACAUGAAACUGGUUUUUGGGAGGGGCCUUUUUUUUUAACCAGUCCUGGGACUAGAACUCUGGGCCUGGCUUUUCAUUGUCUGCUAUCUUCAUUCCUUGAGCUACUAGCUAAGUAAGUUCAGUAGUGUAUCAAACUCUCCCUCAAUUGUUGCAGUUGGCAAUUAACCAGUUUUGCUGUUCAAUAUGUCCUAAAAACAUAAACUGGAUCAUACCUACUUGCUUGUUAAAAAUCCUUUUAUGGCUCCCUACAAGUAAAUUAGUUCAGUCUUUGAGGAUACACUGAAAUUCUUCACAUCAUCACUUCCCUGAGCUUUAUUUCCACAUCACCCAGAAGUACACACUAUUCCCCACAUUCAGCUUAUAUUUUAUGAUUCCAUGUUCUGCUUACUACUUUCUCUAAUCUUAUAAUUCCCAACUUCUUUAAGUAUCUUCUUCAUCUUUUAAAUGCUAACUAAAAGUUCACCACAUUUAUGAAGCAUUUACUAGGUGUCUCCAAACCAGAAUGAGCUGCUUUUUCCAAUGUUCUCUUUUUAAUAACUCUGUACAGUACUUGCUUUUUUCUACUUAUGUUAUAGUUAUUUAACUGACCAAUGGUAACUCUCCUUGUAGAAAGCAAAGACUUUCUGCUUAUGUUUUGUUUUCUCUGAAAAACAAGUAAAGACAAAAUGGAAUCUCAUGUUCAUACUAGGCUUUUACAAUGACCGUAAGUACUUAUUAGUUUACCAACUGGACUUCUAAUUUCACUAGAAUUUGCCACAUACAGAUUGCUCUAUAAACAUUUAUCAAAUAAUUAAAGGCAAUAAUCUGGCAUGUGAUCAAUUUCAAAGACUUUACAGCUUAAAACUAGAGGAACAAUGAAGGAAGGCCAUAAAAAUUGAUGAACUAUCAUAUCAAGAUUUACUAACAGCUGGGCACCAGUAGCUCAUGCCUAUAAUUGUAGCUACUCAGGAGGCUGAAAUUU